UCAUAUGCCGAUACCGCCGUGGGUGGUUACACCCUCCCUAUCCAUCGCGUGCUGCCCGUUGCUGGGGAGUUCUACCUUCUCGGACAAUAAAACUGAGCUCGAACCUAUCCUCCUGGCCAUCUCCACGGUCAGGGCAUGAGGGAGUUCGUCGUCGACAUGAUCACGCCACACCAUUGUUGAGACCCUCAACGGCAAACUAGGGCGGUCAACGGUGCUCGCCUCUGGUGAGUCGCAUCUUCACCAGGCGGGUGGGAGACUGGAGUCCAAGAAGUGCUCACCGGAGCCUAGGAGCCAUGGCGCAGCCGCAUCAUCACGUGGACAAGGGUGCACACGCCGUCAUUCUUCGGUGAGAAACCCCUCUGGGCUCCCAUUAUCAUCCACGCAUAGUAUAUACCCGAGUAUUGUAGAUAUCGUCGCGUCGUGGUCUAGGAAUUUAUCACUGGAGUUCUCCCUCCGCCGCAUAAUCACACCACGCCAUGGUCAGCACCAACACCACUCCGAUGGGCGGUAUGAACCCUCUCUGCAUGUUCGCCAUCUUCCCCUCUAAGUUUAGCACCGAUCAAUUUCAAGGUUGGGCGAUUAGGCGUCGGAUCGUGUGGCCGGCAGCGAAGCUCCGCCGCGGGUAUGCCCUGCGGUGCCACCGUGUUCAGUUGGGGUUGGUGGCGUGGUCGCAUCCGUUGAUCUAGGGAUCGGCGGCUAGGCUCAAACAAGCUAUGGGACGUUGGUCUAUCAGGGAACGGCCACGAUUAGAUAUGUGAGAACUUUGUCAUUUUAAAUCAGUGCUGCAGAUUGACGAAUGGGUGGAUCGGAUGGUGUCGUUGCGGGGGGAAUUUCGGGCCGUGGAUCUCGGAUCCAAGGGCAGGUAUCACAUACCGGUUCUGGUUUUACGGGAUCUAAUGCAUGUCGUUGGUUUUAGAUCGGGCAGCUGGGAAUCAAGGACACCCUUUCAGCCGUGAAACAAAUACAAAAGAGCCCUCGGUUUUCUUUUAAAUCAACCCGCAGUCUGGGUAUGUGGAGAGAUCAGUACGGUUAGGUCCAGAUUUUUCACGGGUUAAACCCUGAAGAUUUAAGGAAUAGCGCCCGUAGUCCAUCCAGUUCAGAAAUAAUAAAAUAAACAUGGAAAUUGAUUCCCAAGUAUAAAAAUAAUUCUUGAAAUCUUAGAAAACUCAUAAUUUACGUGUUUUAACUUUGUUUUACUCUGUUCUGGUUGCGUUAGCUUCGUAAUAAAAUUACCUACGCAGUGAUGACAUUAUUUGUACCAUAAAACAUAUCUUUAUAAAUAGAUAGAGGUUAGCCUAUUAUUAGUAGAUUUAUCCUUCCAACCAAAGUUAAAUUAAUCCAUGACGAUAAUUGACUAAAAUAUGAUUUCUAAUCAAACUAUAAUCUAGGUUAAAGUUUAAUUAAUUAUUUGGAGUAUAUUUUCUCAUAUGAUGUAUAUUAACCAAUUUAUAAUAUAGUUUAAUAUUUAAUCACGUAGAUCUUCGGAAAAUCGUACCUUUAUAAUCGUAACUCCGAAUUUGGUGGUUCUCGAACUCACGAUCUCGUAGCAUCGCGUAGAUUAUUAUUAUGCGGUUUGUUCUUAUGUUGGGUGUGAUGUUAAUUUUGCCUAUACCAUGUUUGUUGUAUUGCUAUGAAUAGCAGUGAGUUCACGAGUCACUUGAAGACAAGUUGGUACCUGAAAUCUUGAGUCUAAGACAAGUUGUGCCCUUGAUCACUUUUCUUUACCCAAUAAUGUUCCUAUUAAUCACUAUGACAUGCUCAGUUUAAUCUGAUGGGACCAAAUAGGUUUCUCUAGACUUGUUUAUCCCACACCUUGUUUACCACUGAACUUUUGGGUAGUUUUGCUAUUGCUCUACCUGGUUUGGGGAUUAAUAUUACAUUAUGAUCAUGUUCCAGUUAUACUGUUGUUUAAUUAUUGUUCAUGACAAGAUCAUUGUGUUAAUUGGAACAUAGAGCUUAACUUGAGAAACACGUGCUACCAUAAGGGUGGAAUGGGACGCCCUUGGCUGACUAAUUAGGAAAGCUAGUUGAGGACUACCUUACCCGAAAGGGGCAAGGGCAGUAGGGGAGUUGUCGGUAUAGGAAGGUUCUCGGGGUGAUCAUGUUGCGAUGGCUUUUCGGACGGGGGAUUCCUAUAUUGCGCUUUCUAGAAACUGUAGUGGGUUUUCUGAAGCUAGUGAAACUUUGUAAAGGCCUCGUAGUGGAUCCAUAUCCAUUCACCGCGGAAGUGUCUAAGGGUCUAGCUAACCUUGGCUAGACGGGAUACACGACUUGUGGGUAAAGGGCGCAACCUCUACAGAGUGUAAAACUGGUAUAUCAGCAGUGCUCGCGGUCAUGAGCAGCUCAGGACUCUCGCAUGAUUAAUUUAUGGAACUAAACUUAAUCUGUCAUAUGCAUUGCAUCGCGGGUGUUAUUAUCAAUUGUGAUCUCUUACUUAAUUGAGUUGGUAUCUACUUAUACUUAGUAACUACUAAUAAAAUUUUGACCAACUCUAAAGCAAUGCUCAGCUUUAACCAUCUCCUUUAGUAAGCCUUACACUUCACAUGAGCUCCCACUUUUGGUGAGUUCAUGCACAUUAUUCCCCACAAUUUGUUGAGCGAUGAACGUAUGUGAGCUCAACCUUGUUGUACUCACAUCCCCCUAGGUCAAAAACAGGUACCACAGGAGGAGGCGCACGAAAGAUGUUGUGAUGAGUUUGUGAGUGGUAUAGGUCGUCGUCUCCCAGUCAACUUUAUGGUUGUUGGAUCGUUGUCUGCAUAUGAUAUAAUUAUUUAGCUAUUUUGUACAUCACUUCUAUUAUAUAGUAAAGAUGUGACAUUCGUUUC
Molecule: long non-coding RNA, 2825 nt
Filed under: Zea mays
Lineage: Eukaryota; Viridiplantae; Streptophyta; Magnoliopsida; Poales; Poaceae
Description: long non-coding RNA (ZMAY_LNC003497)
Source: RNAcentral